GAGUUUGAUCCUGGCUCAGGAUGAACGCUGGCGGCGUGCCUAACACAUGCAGGUCGAACGAAGCACUGAGAGUUUGAGAUUUCGGUCAAGAACUUUCUUUGACUUAGUGGCGGACGGGUGAGUAACGCGUGAGCAACCUGACCUUUUGAGGGGGAUAACACCUGGAAACAAGUGCUAAUACCGCAUAAGACCACGGAGCGGCAUCGUUCAGGGGUCAAAGGAGGAAUCCGCAGAAGGAGGGGCUCGCGUCCCAUUAGAUAGUAGGCGGGGUAACGGCCCACCUAGUCGACGAUGGGUAGCCGAGCUGAGAGGCUGAUCGGCCACACUGGAACUGAGACACGGCCCAGACUCCUACGGGAGGCAGCAGUGGGGAAUAUUGCACAAUGGGGGAAACCCUGAUGCAGCGACGCCGCGUGAAGGAAGAAGUAUCUCGGUAUGUAAACUUCUAUCAGCAGGGAAGAUAGUGACGGUACCUGACUAAGAAGCCCCGGCUAACUACGUGCCAGCCGCCGCGGUAAUUC
Molecule: ribosomal RNA, 521 nt
Filed under: uncultured bacterium
Lineage: Bacteria
Description: bacterial SSU rRNA
Rfam family: Bacterial small subunit ribosomal RNA
Source: RNAcentral